This 510-nucleotide ribosomal RNA is filed under the name uncultured bacterium. RNAcentral's name for it is "bacterial SSU rRNA". It matches the Rfam family "Bacterial small subunit ribosomal RNA", at positions 8 to 518 of the family's 1533-position model. The record is from RNAcentral.
AGAGUUUGAUUAUGGCUCAGGAUGAACGCUGGCGGCGUGCUUAACACAUGCAAGUCGAACGGAGUUUUUAAACGGAAGUUUUCGGAUGGAAGUUAAGAACUUAGUGGCGGACGGGUGAGUAACGCGUGGGUAACCUGCCUCAUACAGGGGGAUAACAGUUAGAAAUGACUGCUAACACCGCAUAAUAUAGUGAAACCGCAUGAUUUUUGCUAUCAAAUAUUUAUAGGUAUGAGAUGGGCCCGCGUCUGAUUAGCUAGUUGGUGGGGUAAAAGCCUACCAAGGCGACGAUCAGUAGCCGGCUUGAGAGAGUGACCGGCCACAUUGGGACUGAGACACGGCCCAAACUCCUACGGGAGGCAGCAGUGGGGAAUAUUGGACAAUGGGGGAAACCCUGAUCCAGCGACGCCCGCGUGAGUGAAGAAGUAUUUCGGUAUGUAAAGCUCUAUCAGCAGGGAAGAUAAUGACAGCACCUGACUAAGAAGCCCCGGCUAACUACGUGCCAGCAGCCGC